AAUAAACAUGCCUUCGCGGGCUCUUUGAGUGAUUCAUGAUAACUUCUCAGAUCGCAUGGCUUUACGCCGGCGACGGUUCAAAUUUCUGCCCUAUCAACUUUCGAUGGUAAGGUAGUGGCUUACCAUGGUUUCAACGGGUAACGGGGAAUUAGGGUUCGAUUCCGGAGAGGGAGCCUGAGAAACGGCUACCACAUCCAAGGAAGGCAGCAGGCGCGCAAAUUACCCAAUUCCGAUACGGAGAGGUAGUGACAAUAAAUACUGAUACAGGGGCUCUUUUGGGUCUUGUAAUUGGAAUGAGUACAAUUUAAACCUCUUAACGAGGAACAAUUGGAGGGCAAGUCUGGUGCCAGCAGCCGCGGUAAUUCCAGCUCCAAUAGCGUAUAUUAAAGUUGUUGCAGUUAAAAAGCUCGUAGUUGAACCUUUGGCCUGGCUGGCAGGUCCGCCUCACCGCGUGCACUUGUCCGGCCGGGCCUUUUCUUCUGGAGAACCGCAUGCCCUUCACUGGGUGUGUUGGGGAACCAGGAC
RNAcentral lists this ribosomal RNA (525 nucleotides) under Pleosporales sp. HyIII. RNAcentral describes it as "SSU rRNA". It matches the Rfam family "Eukaryotic small subunit ribosomal RNA", at positions 220 to 748 of the family's 1831-position model. Lineage: Eukaryota; Fungi; Ascomycota; Dothideomycetes; Pleosporales. The record is from RNAcentral.